GGUUCCGUGGUGUAGUGGUUAUCACGUCUGCUUAACACGCAGAAGGUCGCGAGUUCGAGCCUCGCCGAAACCU
RNAcentral lists this transfer RNA (73 nucleotides) under Gigantopelta aegis. RNAcentral describes it as "tRNA-Val". It matches the Rfam family "tRNA". Rfam says of the family: Transfer RNA (tRNA) molecules are approximately 80 nucleotides in length. Their secondary structure includes four short double-helical elements and three loops (D, anti-codon, and T loops). Further hydrogen bonds mediate the characteristic L-shaped molecular structure. tRNAs have two regions of fundamental functional importance: the anti-codon, which is responsible for specific mRNA codon recognition, and the 3' end, to which the tRNAs corresponding amino acid is attached (by aminoacyl-tRNA synthetases). tRNAs cope with the degeneracy of the genetic code in two manners: having more than one tRNA (with a specific anti-codon) for a particular amino acid; and 'wobble' base-pairing, i.e. permitting non-standard base-pairing at the 3rd anti-codon position. Lineage: Eukaryota; Metazoa; Mollusca; Gastropoda; Neomphalida; Peltospiridae. The record is from RNAcentral.